Molecule: ribosomal RNA, 319 nt
Filed under: Allonemobius socius
Lineage: Eukaryota; Metazoa; Arthropoda; Insecta; Orthoptera; Trigonidiidae
Description: eukaryotic LSU rRNA
Rfam family: Eukaryotic large subunit ribosomal RNA
Source: RNAcentral
AAACACGGACCAAGGAGUCUAACAAGUGCGCGAGUCAAAGGGCUCUAACUAAACCCAAUGGCGAAGCGAAAGCGAAGCGCCGCGGAUUUUUAUCCCGGCCGAGGGAGGAUGGAUGAAGCGGGGGGGGCCGAGCUCGUCAAGAGCGGAGCCCUUUAGUUUCACCCCGUCCCGCACUCCCGGGGCGUCGUUCUCGGCGCACCCAGAGCGCACUCGUUGGUACCCGAAAGAUGGUGAACUAUGCCUGGCCAGGACGAAGCCAGGGGAAACCCUGGUGGAGGUCCGUAGCGAUUCUGACGUGCAAAUCGAUCGUCUGAGCUGG